UGGUUGUUAGCCAGGAUGGCCGCCAUGCCGUCGCCACCCUUGUAGCAGCCGCCGCUCUGGCAGCCGGAGCCGCAGUAGUUGCCGCCGAGGCCGCAGUAGCCGCCGGCACUGCAGCAGAAGUUGUUGGGGCACUUGUCCCCGCCGGCCUGCUUGCCGCACCGCUUCUCCGGGCAGCACGCGCCGCUCUGGCAUCCGUUGCCGCAGAACUCGCUGCCGAGGCCGCAGUAUCCCCACUGGCUGCAGCACAUGUUGUUGGGGCAGAGCUCGCCGUUGGCGUUGCGGCCGCACUUGAUGUCGGCGCGGCACGGCCCGUUCUGGCACCCGGAGCCGCAGUACUCGGAGCCGAAGCCGCAGUAGCCGUACUGGCUGCAGCACUGGUUGUUGGAGCAGGUGGCGCCGCCGCCCUGGCUGCCGCAGCGCUGGCUGGAGCAGCAGGCGCCGCUCUGGCACCCCGUGCCGCAGUAGUCGCGGCCGAGGCCGCAGUACCCGAACUGGCUGCAGCACAGGUUGUGCGGGCAGAUCAUGCCGUCGUUCUGCUUCCCGCACGUCUGCGCGUUCGUCGCCGCGACGGCGGCGGCGGCGAGGACCGCCGCCGCCAUCGCCAUGGCCUUCGUCGUCGUCGACGUCA
Molecule: long non-coding RNA, 628 nt
Filed under: Oryza sativa (Asian cultivated rice)
Lineage: Eukaryota; Viridiplantae; Streptophyta; Magnoliopsida; Poales; Poaceae
Description: long non-coding RNA (OSAT_LNC000704)
Source: RNAcentral